ACUCUGUUUCUUUGGGGCGUUUGGUAGCCAGAAAUAAUCUGCUAGGAAAGUGAUUAGGAAUAUUCGAGUUGUUUGUUCAGAAAUGUUCAUUCCCAGGAAUGGUACACUCCCAGGAAUGUUAAACUCUGGAAAAUUUUCAAUUCCUAAAUCUAAUGGUCUCAUAUGUAUCUCAUAUAUACUUUCCCAUGUGUACGAAAGAAUUAUUUUUCAGGGGGAAAGUUACUUUUUUGUAAGUGUGAGAAAUUAGUAAAAAAAAAAUAAAGAAGAAGAUAAAUAUGGAUAUUAAUGUCCUCAUUUAUAAUAACAUUUACAAAAG
RNAcentral lists this unclassified non-coding RNA (316 nucleotides) under Hevea brasiliensis (rubber tree). Lineage: Eukaryota; Viridiplantae; Streptophyta; Magnoliopsida; Malpighiales; Euphorbiaceae. The record is from RNAcentral.